AGAGUUUGAUCAUGGCUCAGGAUGAACGCUAGCUACAGGCUUAACACAUGCAAGUCGAAGGGGAAACGAUAUUGGAAGCUGCUUCCGAUAGGCGUCGACCGGCGUACGGGUGAGUAACGCGGUAUCCAACCUGCCCACCACUUGGGGAUAACCUUGCGAAAGUAAGACUAAUACCCAAUGACGUCUCUAGAAGACAUCUGAAAGAGAUUAAAGAUUUAUCGGUGAUGGAUGGGGAUGCGUCUGAUUAGCUUGUUGGCGGGGUAACGGCCCACCAAGGCGACGAUCAGGUAGGGUUCUGAGAGGAAGGCCCCCACAUUGGAACUGAGACACGGUCCAAACUCCUACGGCAGGCAGCA
This 356-nucleotide ribosomal RNA is filed under the name uncultured bacterium. Its description in RNAcentral is "bacterial SSU rRNA". It matches the Rfam family "Bacterial small subunit ribosomal RNA", at positions 8 to 353 of the family's 1533-position model. The record is from RNAcentral.